CACGAACCGUACGAACGUUAUUCGGAAUCACUGGGCUUAAAGAGUACGUAGGCGGCUUGGAAGGUUGGGUGUGAAAGCCCUCGGCUCAACCGAGGAAUUGCGCUCAAAACCGCCAAGCUCGAGGGAGAUAGAGGUGAGCGGAACUAAUGGUGGAGCGGUGAAAUGCGUUGAUAUCAUUAGGAACACCGGUGGCGAAAGCGGCUCACUGGGUCUCCUCUGACGCUGAGGUACGAAAGCUAGGGUAGCGAACGGG
Molecule: unclassified non-coding RNA, 253 nt
Filed under: uncultured Pirellulaceae bacterium
Lineage: Bacteria; Pseudomonadati; Planctomycetota; Planctomycetia; Pirellulales; Pirellulaceae
Description: contains 16S-23S intergenic spacer region
Rfam family: Bacterial small subunit ribosomal RNA
Source: RNAcentral